This 857-nucleotide ribosomal RNA is filed under the name Nannochloropsis sp. CCNM 1032. RNAcentral's name for it is "partial 18S ribosomal RNA". It matches the Rfam family "Eukaryotic small subunit ribosomal RNA", at positions 640 to 1449 of the family's 1831-position model. The record is from RNAcentral. Lineage: Eukaryota; Eustigmatophyceae; Eustigmatales; Monodopsidaceae.
CCCGGCACAGACAGAAGGUGCAGAAUGUGAACGGAUUACCCUGCCCGGGUUACCUCUCGACUUAAAGUGACAACACUUGAACUCCCUCAUCCUAGAGAUAUUGUGGGACUCGAGGGGGCGGGGGUUUUGAGGUAAUCUCCCUCCUAUAUUUCAGACGAUAGUUCCCGGUAUGGACACCCUCCUGCUUCAUUUCUGGAUGGACGGCUGGUCGGUUCCGAUAAGGGGCCGUACUAUUGUUGGUUCCUGUCAUCCUUGGGGAGAGCGAUUCUGGCAUUAAGUUGUUGGGGUCGGGAUCCCUAUCUUUUACUGUGAAAAAAUUAGAGUGUUCAAAGCAGGCUUAGGCCCUGAAUACAUUAGCAUGGAAUAAUAAGAUACGACCUUGGUGGUCUAUUUUGUUGGUUUGCACGCCAAGGUAAUGAUUAAUAGGGAUAGUUGGGGGUAUUCUUAUUCAAUUGUUUCACGUGGAAGUGUUGCAUGGGUCCAACCCCGACCUAAAACCUUCUAAUUUUUUUACCGAGAGAAGUAUGGGUUACUAAACACUAAACUUAGGGCCUGAACGAUUUUCACUUACCAUCAUAGUCACAAACAUAAACAAUGCCCACUAUGGAACGGUGGGUGCAUUGCAAGGCCAAAUCCCACAUUAUGAUAUAUCACAGUCACAGGGUUCAGGGCGGAGUAUGGUCGCAAAGCUACAGCCUCAAGCAAACUCGACAGAUUGCCACCACUUGAAUCGGAGCCAGCGGCUUAAUUUGACUCACUCGGUAACUUGACUAAGACCCGACUAUUAUGAUUGACGAUGCCACCUCUUUCUAAGAUAGGAAAGUAUGAGCUGCAUGCUCAUAUAAAAAAAAAAAAAA